AUGCUAGUGGAUCUGGUGGUGAUGCUGGUGCUGCUGCGGCUUCCUGCUCUGUUUGAAGUGUCACAGUGUCCUUUUCCAAUCUUUGAAGAUAAGUUGGAAUUCAAGGUAGAAAAUAUUUUGUGGAACGCCACUUCCUAUAGGAAGGGUGAUAGGCUUCCCAAAAUUCAUUCAUCUAUAGAAAAACGUAAUGGCCUUGGGUUCGAGUCCUCCACCGUUCCGACUUUGAUGAAGUACCUGAAGUUGUUUAUGUUGUCCUUGAUGAGGAAUGCUUCAGGAGGAUGGUCGUCACAUAAGAUGCAGUAG
RNAcentral lists this ribosomal RNA (303 nucleotides) under Triticum aestivum (bread wheat). Its description in RNAcentral is "partial small subunit ribosomal RNA". The record is from RNAcentral. Lineage: Eukaryota; Viridiplantae; Streptophyta; Magnoliopsida; Poales; Poaceae.